Molecule: transfer RNA, 77 nt
Filed under: Deltaproteobacteria bacterium
Lineage: Bacteria; Pseudomonadati; Myxococcota; Myxococcia
Description: tRNA-Arg
Rfam family: tRNA
About the family: Transfer RNA (tRNA) molecules are approximately 80 nucleotides in length. Their secondary structure includes four short double-helical elements and three loops (D, anti-codon, and T loops).
Source: RNAcentral
GCGUCCGUAGCUCAGCUGGAUAGAGCAACAGCCUUCUAAGCUGUGGGUCGCAGGUUCGAAUCCUGCCGGACGCGCCA